Molecule: long non-coding RNA, 1829 nt
Organism: Equus caballus (horse)
Lineage: Eukaryota; Metazoa; Chordata; Mammalia; Perissodactyla; Equidae
Source: Ensembl
UUGUCAGUAUUAGUAUUUUAAAGUACCAUUUGUUGAAAAUCUAUUAUUUGCCAGGUACUGUAAUAUAAUUUAUCUUAAAACUCCAUGGAGAAGAGAUUGUUAUCAAACUGAGGUUUAUGAAGGAUUACGUCUCUUGCCCAAGGACAUAUAUGGCCUUCAACCUUUGGAUUUAAAACAGUGGCAGGGUAGAGAUUAAAAGCCAAGUCAAAGCCCACACUCUUUGCCACUACCCUGUACUCAUCUCGCGCACCUGCUAAUCCAAGGCUUGGUUUACAUGGACUCUGGAGCCAUUAGGAAUUAAAAGUUUAUUAGACACACAAAGUGAGAGCAUCUUUAUUUAUUUAUUUAUUUAUUUAUUUUUUCAGGGGAAGAUUUGCCCUAAGCUAGCAUCUGUUGUCAAUCUUCCUAAUUUUUUCUUUGUUUUUUUUUCCCCUAAAGUCCCCAGUACAUAGUUGUGUAUAGUUGUAAGUUCUUCUGGUUCUUCUAUGUGAGCCACCACCAUAGCAUGGCUACUGACAAAUGAGUCGUCUGCUUCUGUGCCCGGGAACUGAACCCAGGCUGCUGAAGUGGAGCAUGCUGAACUUGAACUGCUAGGACAUCAGGCUGGCUCUAGAGAGCAUCUUUAAAACUCAGGAAAACAGAACAGGUUUUUGAAAUGGAGAAUCCUUUAUUUGUAAUUAUUCCCUCCUUUAAUUCCAGUGGAGAAUUUAGAGCCCCAUUAUCUUCCUUUCAACUUUAACUGUUACAGGCAAAUAGAUUCAUUAAGUAAUUAAGUCCCAUUCUUCACCCAAGCCCUGCUCCCUGCCUUACCAGAAACAGGGCUGGUGGAGAACACAGGGGCGCCCACAGGAUUUGAGCCUCAUUCUAACUUUUCCCUUUUGUGCUCAGCUCACAGUAACUACCAGUUUUUGAAGUCCUUACUGUAUGCCAGCUGCUAUGCUAUGCUUUUUAUAUAGGGUAUUUCAUUUCAUUCUCACAACAACCUUAUGUCUAUGCAAAAUAACCAAUAACCAUUCUAUAGAUUAGAGAGAUAAGUUGAGUUUUACUUGAGUCAAGUUGAGGAUUAUAAGCUGGGAAGGCAGUUUCCACAAAGGAAGAAAAUGUUCCAGAGAAGCAGGGUUUGCAGUACAGUUUUAUAGCUUUUGAGAGCAAAGAACAUACAUUAAACAUGCCCAGGAUACAUACUCAUCAAAGUUUCAAAGAGAUAUUCAGUUACAAGUUAGCAGGUCAACCUGACCCUGAUGUCCAGGAAAGGGAACUUAUUUUCAGGAGUGCUGAUAUGGGUGUUACUGAUAGGGAAUUACUGAUACUGGUGAUACUGGCUGAUACUGGCAUUGUAGGAGGGGACCUACACAUUCUUGUAAGAGAAUGCAUUCUUUAACAGUUAAAGCAGAUGUACAAUGUGUGUUUGAUAGGCAGUAAGUCAAGCUUCUUUAGUUCAAGCCAAAUCAGUUUUGAACCAGAAUGGUUACCCCAUAUACUCAAUAUGUGAAAAUCUCAUGUGACUAAUGAAGUAGGUAUUGAUAUGACUCACAUCAAUGAAGUCUGAGAACAGAAAUUGAGCAGCUCCAGAACUAGAGCCCAGGUUGGUCAGACUCUAAAACUAAUCUCCACUCUACAUUCUAAAUUUUUCUUGAAUCAAUAAAUGAUUUCUCUUGCUCCUAUUUGGUAAUCCAAUUUCAAGAUUUCAAGACUCCAUCUCAAGAUGUCUACAGAUAAAGCCCAUCAGAUGGAGGCCACCAAGAAUACAUGAAGCUGGGUACCUGAGGGUUACUGUAAACAUUCGAUUCUUUUGACCUUGUUCCCAACACAGACAUAGAUGAAAAGAA